CUCUUAUGAAGUUAGCGGCGGACGGGUGAGUAACACGUGGGUAACCUGCCCAUAAGACUGGGAUAACUCCGGGAAACCGGGGCUAAUACCGGAUAACAUUUUGAACCGCAUGGUUCGAAAUUGAAAGGCGGCUUCGGCUGUCACUUAUGGAUGGACCCGCGUCGCAUUAGCUAGUUGGUGAGGUAACGGCUCACCAAGGCAACGAUGCGUAGCCGACCUGAGAGGGUGAUCGGCCACACUGGGACUGAGACACGGCCCAGACUCCUACGGGAGGCAGCAGUAGGGAAUCUUCCGCAAUGGACGAAAGUCUGACGGAGCAACGCCGCGUGAGUGAUGAAGGCUUUCGGGUCGUAAAACUCUGUUGUUAGGGAAGAACAAGUGCUAGUUGAAUAAGCUGGCACCUUGACGGUACCUAACCAGAAAGCCACGGCUAACUACGUGCCAGCAGCCGCGGUAAUACGUAGGUGGCAAGCGUUAUCCGGAAUUAUUGGGCGUAAAGCGCGCGCAGGUGGUUUCUUAAGUCUGAUGUGAAAG
This 534-nucleotide ribosomal RNA is filed under the name marine sediment bacterium BB0608_2216_6.1_5G0. RNAcentral describes it as "bacterial SSU rRNA". It matches the Rfam family "Bacterial small subunit ribosomal RNA", at positions 81 to 600 of the family's 1533-position model. The record is from RNAcentral.